This 168-nucleotide unclassified non-coding RNA is filed under the name uncultured Helotiales. RNAcentral describes it as "sequence contains ITS1". The record is from RNAcentral. Lineage: Eukaryota; Fungi; Ascomycota; Leotiomycetes; Helotiales.
CCGAGUUCAUGCCCUUACGGGUAGAUCUCCCACCCUAUGUUAUUAUUACCUUUGUUGCUUUGGCGGGCCGCUAGGCUUCGGCUAGGCUACCGGCUGCGGCUGGUAAGCGCCCGCCAGAGGAUUCUAAACCCUGAAUAUUAGUGUCGUCUGAGUACUAUAUAAUAGUUA